Molecule: non-coding RNA, 240 nt
Organism: Paramuricea clavata
Lineage: Eukaryota; Metazoa; Cnidaria; Anthozoa; Malacalcyonacea; Plexauridae
Source: the annotation of a GenBank genome assembly
CCCAAUCUGAAUCCCUGUUGCGAUCAUAACGAUGGUACCAGCAUUCCUCAUCCUGGCAGAUUUUUAUCCAAAUUUGUCAAGAACUGGGAACAAGCAGUGCGAAUAUAUCUUGUUGACAAGCUGCGAGAUUUUUACGCUAGAAAAGAUAGAUCCGUAACAACUUGCUCGUAUAAUACUUUUUGUUUGUGGAAACACCACGUAAAUUUAUUACUGCAAAGCUUUCGAUCCGUAAGCCCGGAC